This is a non-coding RNA of Strongylocentrotus purpuratus (purple sea urchin), 73 nucleotides long. Lineage: Eukaryota; Metazoa; Echinodermata; Echinoidea; Camarodonta; Strongylocentrotidae. The record is from Rfam.
GGGGGUUUAGCUCAGUAGGCAGAGCGUUCGACUUAAGAUCGGAAGGUCUCGGGUUCGAUUCCCGCUGCCUCCA